AUCGCUUCUCGGCCUUUUGGCUAAGAUCAAGUGUAGUAUCUGUUCUUAUCAGUUUAAUAUCUGAUACGUCCCCCGUCCGGGGACUACAUAUUAAAUGGAUUUUUAGAUCACGGAGCUGGAGCCGGGGCUUGCUCCGUCCACUCCAUGCAUCGGCCUGGUAUUGCAGUGUCUCCAGGAACGGUGUGCUUUCC
Molecule: small nuclear RNA, 191 nt
Organism: Carassius auratus (goldfish)
Lineage: Eukaryota; Metazoa; Chordata; Actinopteri; Cypriniformes; Cyprinidae
Gene: U2
Rfam family: U2 spliceosomal RNA
About the family: U2 is a small nuclear RNA (snRNA) component of the spliceosome (involved in pre-mRNA splicing). Complementary binding between U2 snRNA (in an area lying towards the 5' end but 3' to hairpin I) and the branchpoint sequence (BPS) of the intron results the bulging out of an unpaired adenosine, on the BPS, which initiates a nucleophilic attack at the intronic 5' splice site, thus starting the first of two transesterification reactions that mediate splicing.
Source: Ensembl